CGGGGAGACUGCAAAUAUGCGUGGUCUCCGACAUUCAUCCCCAUCAGGCAUAUUGCUUACUGGAGACACAGAUGGCAUUGACCGCUGAAAAGAAGGCCGAAAUCGUCAAGGAAUACGGCCGUGGUGAC
Halomonadaceae bacterium T82-2 is the source of this 128-nucleotide non-coding RNA. The record is from Rfam. Lineage: Bacteria; Pseudomonadati; Pseudomonadota; Gammaproteobacteria; Oceanospirillales; Halomonadaceae.